Molecule: ribosomal RNA, 253 nt
Filed under: uncultured bacterium
Lineage: Bacteria
Description: partial 16S ribosomal RNA
Rfam family: Bacterial small subunit ribosomal RNA
Source: RNAcentral
UACGAAGGGGGCUAGCGUUGCUCGGAAUUACUGGGCGUAAAGCGUGCGUAGACGGUAGCGUAAGUCAGAUGUGAAAGCCCCGGGCUCAACCUGGGAACUGCAUUUGAGACUGCUCUGCUCGGGUGCGGAAGAGGGAAGCGGAAUUCCUGGUGUAGCGGUGAAAUGCGCAGAUAUCAGGAAGGACACCUAUGGCGAAGGCAGCUCUCUGGGACGGUACUGACGCUGAGACGCGAAAGCGUGGGGAGCGAACAGG